Long non-coding RNA from Mytilus californianus (California mussel), 543 nucleotides. RefSeq lists it as uncharacterized. The record is from RefSeq and is a predicted model, not a curated record. NCBI's taxonomy places the organism in Eukaryota, Metazoa, Mollusca, Bivalvia, Mytilida, Mytilidae. The transcript has 3 exons.
UUCAAUUUAGUCGAUAGAAUGUUAUAAAAGGAUGCGAUCGACGUUAUUAUGCAUUAAAAAUAAACAAGUCUGUUACAAUGAUUAUUGUUUUUACAAAUAUGUAUACUUCAUAUAUUACUGGACGCAAAGAACACAGGGUCCUAUAACAGACUAGCAGACCUGGUGUUCGAUAUGAACACAGUGGAAUAAAGUCUCGAUGUUGGACUUUAACACCAUGCAAAUCUUAGUUUUGUGGAGGAACGACGUUUAAAUCAUCGACUAAAUACCUCCACGUUUCACAAGUGUCAUCUUGACUUUGUCAAGGACUUGCUUGGUUUUUUUAUUUCUAUUUUUCAAUUCAUGCUCUUACGCUUAUCUCAUCAUUCGAACUGUAGCAAUUUAAAACGUUUAGUGUAUUGCUUUUAAGAUUUUUUUUGGAGAAUUGAUAAUUUGUAACUUUAAAUAGUGCAUAUUAGAACUCAAAGUUUUCUAAAUACAAAAUUAAACUUGAUUAUACUAUUCUUCCAACGGCUAAUUUCACUGAAUAAAAAAAUGUAUCAUUUA